This 1458-nucleotide ribosomal RNA is filed under the name Staphylococcus xylosus. RNAcentral's name for it is "bacterial SSU rRNA". It matches the Rfam family "Bacterial small subunit ribosomal RNA". Lineage: Bacteria; Bacillati; Bacillota; Bacilli; Caryophanales; Staphylococcaceae. The record is from RNAcentral.
UCGCUGGCGGCGUGCCUAAUACAUGCAAGUCGAGCGAACAGAUGAGAAGCUUGCUUCUCUGAUGUUAGCGGCGGACGGGUGAGUAACACGUGGGUAACCUACCUAUAAGACUGGGAUAACUCCGGGAAACCGGGGCUAAUACCGGAUAAUAUUUUGAACCGCAUGGUUCAAUAGUGAAAGACGGUUUCGGCUGUCACUUAUAGAUGGACCCGCGCCGUAUUAGCUAGUUGGUAAGGUAACGGCUUACCAAGGCGACGAUACGUAGCCGACCUGAGAGGGUGAUCGGCCACACUGGAACUGAGACACGGUCCAGACUCCUACGGGAGGCAGCAGUAGGGAAUCUUCCGCAAUGGGCGAAAGCCUGACGGAGCAACGCCGCGUGAGUGAUGAAGGUCUUCGGAUCGUAAAACUCUGUUGUUAGGGAAGAACAAAUUUGUUAGUAACUGAACAAGUCUUGACGGUACCUAACCAGAAAGCCACGGCUAACUACGUGCCAGCAGCCGCGGUAAUACGUAGGUGGCAAGCGUUAUCCGGAAUUAUUGGGCGUAAAGCGCGCGUAGGCGGUUUCUUAAGUCUGAUGUGAAAGCCCACGGCUCAACCGUGGAGGGUCAUUGGAAACUGGGAAACUUGAGUGCAGAAGAGGAGAGUGGAAUUCCAUGUGUAGCGGUGAAAUGCGCAGAGAUAUGGAGGAACACCAGUGGCGAAGGCGGCUCUCUGGUCUGUAACUGACGCUGAUGUGCGAAAGCGUGGGGAUCAAACAGGAUUAGAUACCCUGGUAGUCCACGCCGUAAACGAUGAGUGCUAAGUGUUAGGGGGUUUCCGCCCCUUAGUGCUGCAGCUAACGCAUUAAGCACUCCGCCUGGGGAGUACGACCGCAAGGUUGAAACUCAAAGGAAUUGACGGGGACCCGCACAAGCGGUGGAGCAUGUGGUUUAAUUCGAAGCAACGCGAAGAACCUUACCAAAUCUUGACAUCCUUUGACCGCUCUAGAGAUAGAGUCUUCCCCUUCGGGGGACAAAGUGACAGGUGGUGCAUGGUUGUCGUCAGCUCGUGUCGUGAGAUGUUGGGUUAAGUCCCGCAACGAGCGCAACCCUUAAGCUUAGUUGCCAUCAUUAAGUUGGGCACUCUAGGUUGACUGCCGGUGACAAACCGGAGGAAGGUGGGGAUGACGUCAAAUCAUCAUGCCCCUUAUGAUUUGGGCUACACACGUGCUACAAUGGAUAAUACAAAGGGCAGCGAAUCCGCGAGGCCAAGCAAAUCCCAUAAAAUUAUUCUCAGUUCGGAUUGUAGUCUGCAACUCGACUACAUGAAGCUGGAAUCGCUAGUAAUCGUAGAUCAGCAUGCUACGGUGAAUACGUUCCCGGGUCUUGUACACACCGCCCGUCACACCACGAGAGUUUGUAACACCCGAAGCCGGUGGAGUAACCUUUUAGGAGCUAGCCGUCGAAGGUGGGACAA